Molecule: long non-coding RNA, 3108 nt
Filed under: Homo sapiens (human)
Lineage: Eukaryota; Metazoa; Chordata; Mammalia; Primates; Hominidae
Description: non-protein coding lnc-ZNF83-6:1
Source: RNAcentral
UUAAAGUAUAAUAAAAAAAGUGUAUAUAUAUAUAUAUAUAUAUAUAUAUAGAGAGAGAGAGAGAGAGAGAGAGAGAGAGAGAGAGAGAGAGAGAGAGAGAGAGAACAGAUAGAAGUACAUCAAGGGGGAUACAAGGGCUGAGCUGGGACACAAGCGCUGAGCUGCGCUGCUGACAGUGGUUCUGAAGCCAUCCCUCAUGGAUCAUGUGCUGAGUCAUGAUGCCCUGCACACACUGAUUUAAGCGGCCUCCUAUAAUUUUGUCCAGUGGAUGAAUAAGGUCUUGACUUACUCAGUGAGAGUAGUGUUGGAGGGGAGGGGCUCAUGGGGAAAUUGGGGUGUUCACUAUUACAAAAUCAAUAGGCUGGAAAGCAACAGUAUUUUGCAUCCAAAUCAAUGUACCAUGUGAAGCAAGGCCAGGAAAAGGAGGGCAAGGGUGGAGGGCAGGAAUGGGCACGUAGGAGUGAACUUUGUGCAUGCACAUCUGUGGGAAUAUAAUUCCACUGGGAUAGACCAAGUUUUGAGCUUGGAGGAAAAUGGAACUAAUUUAGCAAAUGGUAAAAUACUGACCCAAGGUUAACUAUGCAAAUUACAAUAUGGGCAAGGGACAAGAAUGAACAAGAUCCAAAAAAUCAGCAGUAUGGUGGCCUGAGGUGAAAGCAGUUUUACAUCUCUUAGGUAAAAUGGCCUCUGAUUUCUAGUUUCAAGCAUAUACUCAAAAAUAUGCCUUGUGUAGAUUCCAGAAUUUCAUACACACAAAAAAAAUGAGUAAAGUCUACGAGGAGUACAGCAAUGUAGAGACCAUGGAUGUGAAGAAGGAUCCCUUGGCUGAGUAUGAAGAGAUGUGUCUGUGAAAACAGAGGCAGGCCAAGCACAGUGGCUCAUGCCUGUAAUAAUAAUAAUAUUAAUAAUUAUGACGUUUUUUAAUUUUUUUUUUUUUGAGAAGGAGUGUCACUCUAUCACCCAGGCAGGAGUGCAGUGGCACAAUCUUGGCUCACUGCAACUUCUUCCACCCAGGUUCAAGCAAUUCUCUUACCUCAGCCUCCCGAGUAGCUGGCAUUACAGUCACCUGCCACCAGGCCUGGCUAAUUUUUAGUUGAGAUGGCAUUUCACCAUUUUGCCCAGGCUGAUCUCAAACUCCUGACCUUGUGAUUCACCCACCUGGGCCUCCCAAAGUGCUGGGAUUACAGGCGUGAGCCACCUCACCCGGCCAAUCCUUACUAAUAACUCAUCAUUGUGAUAGUUAACAAAAAUGAAAAAUACUUACAAUCAUAACAACUAUAAAAAAUAUACCUUAUUGCAAAUCAAGUGUUUUCUACAUAAACCAUGGGCUUAUCCAUCCAUGUAUUCAUGCACACACAUCACAUCAUGCCGUUACAAGCGUGGUGGCGUGCAUCUCUAAUCCCAGCUACUCGAGAGGCUCAGGCAACAGAAUCACUGUAAUCUGGAAGGUGGAAGCUACAGUGAGCCAAAAUCUCACCACUGCACUCCAUCCUGGGUGAUAGAGGGAGACUCAACUCAAAAAAAGAAAAAAAUAAUAAAAUCAAUGAUGUGAUAAAGCACCCUGUACCACUGACGUGUAUCUUCACUUUCCAUUCCAUUCCUGAAGGGGUGGCCUGCCCCUCCACACCUGUGGGCAUUUCUCGUCAGGUGGAACGGAGAGAUUUGAGAAAAGAAAGAGACAUAGAGACAAAGUACAGAGAAAGAAAAGUAGGCCUACAGGACCAGCACUCAGCAUACAGAGGACCCGCGCCUGCACCGGCCUCUGAGUUCCCUCAGUAUUUAUUGAUCAUUAUCUCUACCAUCUCGGAGAGGGGGAUGUGGCAGGACAAUAAGGUAAUAGUGGAGAGAGGGUCAGCAGGAAAACCUGAACAAAUGUCUCUGUCAUAAACAAGGUAAAGGAAAAAGUGCUGUGCUUUUGAUGUGCAUAUACAUAAACAUCUCAAUGCCUUAAAGAGCAGUACUGCCUCCAGCAUGUCUCACCUCCAGCUCUAAGGCAGUUUUCUCCUAUCUCAGUAGAUGGAAUAUACAAUUGGGCUUUACACCGAGACAUUCCAUUGUCCAGGGACCAGCAGGAGACAGAUGCCUUCCUCUUACCUCAACAGAGGCGGGGCACGGUGGCUCAUGCCUGUAAUCCCAGCACCUUGGGAGGCCAGGUCUGGCGGAUCACGAGGUCAGGAGUUUGAGACCAGCCUGACAAACAUGGUGAAACCCUGUCUCUACUAAAAAUAUAAAAAUUAGCCAGGUGUGCUGGUAGGUGCCUGUAAUUUCAGCUACUCAGGAGACUGAGUAUGGAUUCUCUGAUGUCCAACGAGGUGUGAAUGUGAAGUAAAGGCUUUGCCACAAUCAUCACACUUGUGAGGUUUCUCUCCUGUAUGAAUUCUCCUGUUUUGCAUAGGAUGAAGCUUGACUGAAGACCUUGCCUCAAUCAUGACAUUUGUAAGGUUUCUCUCCAGUAUGAGGUUGCCAAUGAACUGCAAUGUAUGAACAAUGUCUGAAAAACAUGCCACAUUUAUUACACUCAGAAGAUUUCUCUUCAUCAUGGAUUCUCCAAUGAUUUGCAAUUGUUGUAGUGUUACUGAAGACUUUGUGACAAUCAUUAUAUUAAUCAAAUUUCCCUAUACCAUGAAUUGCCUGAUGGUGAAUAAGUGUUGACCGGUCACUAAAGGCUUUGCCACACUCAUUACACUUGUAAGGUUUCUCUCCAGUAUGAAUUAUCCUAUGUCUUUUAAGGUGUGAUUUGCGACUGAAAACUUUGUCACAUGCUUCACAUUUGUAAGGUUUCUCUCCAGUAUGAAUUCUAUGAUGACGUGAAAGGUGUGAUUGUUCAUUAAAAGCCUUUCCACAUUCAUUACACUUGUAAGGUUUCUCUGCAGUGUGAAUUCUAAUAUGUCUUGCCAGGUAUGAAUUACGCACGAAAGCCUUGUCACAAACCGUACAUUUGUAAGAUUUCUCUCCAGUAUGAAGUCUACGAUGGUAUACAAGGGAUGACCAGUGACGGAAGGUAUUGCCACAGUCGUUACACUUGUAAGGUUUCUCACCACUAUGAAGUCUACGAUGGCAUAGAAGGGUUGCCUUCUGACUGAACGUCUUGCUGCACUCACUACACUU